GUUUGAUCCUGGCUCAGAUUGAACGCUGGCGGCAUGCUUUACACAUGCAAGUCGAACGGUAACAGGUCUUCGGAUGCUGACGAGUGGCGAACGGGUGAGUAAUACAWCGGAACGUGCCUAGUAGUGGGGGAUAACUACUCGAAAGAGUAGCUAAUACCGCAUGAGAUCUACGGAUGAAAGCAGGGGACCUUSGGGCCUUGUGCUACUAGAGCGGMUGAUGGCAGAUUAGGUAGUUGGUGGGGUAAAGGCUUACCAAGCCUGCGAUCUGUAGCUGGUCUGAGAGGACGACCAGCCACACUGGGACUGAGACACGGCCCAGACUCCUACGGAGGCAGCAGUGGGGAAUUUUGGACAAUGGGCGAAAGCCUGAUCCAGCAAUGCCGCGUGCAGGAUGAAGGCCCUCGGGUUGUAAACUGCUUUUGUACGGAACGAAAAGCCUGGGGCUAAUAUCCYCGGGUCAUGACGGUACCGUAAGAAUAAGCACCGGCUAACUACGUGCCAGCAGCCGCGGUAAUACGUAGGGUGCAAGCGUUAAUCGGAAUUACUGGGGUAAAGCGUGCGCAGGCGGUUUUGUAAGACAGUGGUGAAAUCCCCGGGCUCAACCUGGGAACUGCCAUUGUGACUGCAAGGSUAGAGUGCGGCAGAGGGGGAUGGAAUUCCGMGUGUAGCAGYGAAAUGCGUAGAUAUGSGGAGGAACACCGAKGGCGAAGGCAAUCCCCUGGGCCUGCACUGACGCUCAUGCACGAAAGCGUGGGGAGCAAACAGGAUUAGAUACCCUGGUAGUCCACGCCCUAAACGAUGUCAACUKGUUGUUGGGRRWUWACUUUCUCAGUAACGAAGCUAACGCGUGAAGUUGACCGCCUGGGGAGUAYGGCCGCAAGGUUGAAACUCAAAGGAAUUGACGGGGACCCGCACAASCGGWGGAUGAUGUGGUUUAAUUYGAUGCAACGCGAAAAACCUUACCCACCYUUGACAUGGCMGGAACUUACCAGAGAUGGUUUGGYGCYYGWMAGMRAMYSWSMACWSWGKWKCKGCMUSRCUGUCSWSWGSYCKYGUYGYGAGAUGUUGGGUUAAGUCCCGCAACGAGCGCAACCCUUGCCAUUAGUUGCUACAUUCAGUUGAGCACUCUAAUGGGACUGCCGGUGACAAACCGGAGGAAGGUGGGGAUGACGUCAAGUCCWCAUGGCCCUUAUAGGUGGGGCUACACACGUCAUACAAUGGCUGGUACAAAGGGUUGCCAACCCGCGAGGGGGAGCUAAUCCCAUAAAGCCAGUCGUAGUCCGGAUCGCAGUCUGCAACUCGACUGCGUGAAGUCGGAAUCGCUAGUAAUCGUGGAUCAGAAUGUCACGGUGAAUACGUUCCCGGGUCUUGUACACACCGCCCGWCACACCAUGGGAGCGGGUCUCGCCAGAAGUAGGUAGCCUAACCGMAAGGAGGGCGCUUACMACGGSGGGGUUCGUGACUGGGGUGAAGUGGUAACAAGGUA
This 1486-nucleotide ribosomal RNA is filed under the name Comamonas sp. veravelsponge01. RNAcentral describes it as "partial 16S ribosomal RNA". It matches the Rfam family "Bacterial small subunit ribosomal RNA". The record is from RNAcentral. Lineage: Bacteria; Pseudomonadati; Pseudomonadota; Betaproteobacteria; Burkholderiales; Comamonadaceae.